Molecule: ribosomal RNA, 468 nt
Filed under: uncultured bacterium
Lineage: Bacteria
Description: partial 16S ribosomal RNA
Rfam family: Bacterial small subunit ribosomal RNA
Source: RNAcentral
GACGAACGCUGGCGGCGUGCCUAACACAUGCAAGUCGAACGGAAAGGCCCUGCUUUUGUGCGGUGGUCGAGUGGCGAAGGGGUGAGUAACACGUGAGUAACCUGUCCCUGUCUUAGGGAGAACUUCAGGAAACAGGGGCUAAUACCGGGUAGGAGCUCUUGCUGCAUGGUGGGGGUUGGUAAGUUUCGGCGGUUGGGGAUGGAAUCGCGGCUUAUGAGCUUGAUGGUGGGGUAGUGGCUUACCAAGGUUAUGAGUGGUAGCAUGCCUGAGAGGUUGACCGGCCACAUUAGGCCUGAGAUACGGCCCAGACGCGUACGGGACGCAACGGUGGAGAGUAUUACACAAUGGGCGGAAGCCAGAUGCAACAGCGCCGCGUGCGGGAAGACGGGCUUCGGGUUGUGAACCAAUGUCGCCUGAGACGAGGCGUGAGUGACGGUAACGGGUAAAGAAGCACCGGCUAACUACGUG